UACGUAGGGGGCUAGCGUUGUCCGGAAUCAUUGGGCGUAAAGGGCGCGUAGGCGGUUGGAUAAGUCUUGUGUGAAAUCUUCGGGCUCAACUCGAAGUCUGCACGAGAAACUAUCUGGCUUGAGUGUGGGAGAGGUGAGUGGAAUUCCUGGUGUAGCGGUGAAAUGCGUAGAUAUCAGGAGAAACACCUGUGGCGAAAGCGGCUCACUGGACCACAACUGACGCUGAGGCGCGAAAGCUAGGGGAGCAAACAGG
This 253-nucleotide ribosomal RNA is filed under the name uncultured bacterium. RNAcentral describes it as "partial 16S ribosomal RNA". It matches the Rfam family "Bacterial small subunit ribosomal RNA", at positions 524 to 776 of the family's 1533-position model. The record is from RNAcentral.